GGUAGCUCACUGGUAGAGUGCUUGCCUUGGAUGCAUGAGGCCUUAGGUUCGAUUCCUCAGUACCA
RNAcentral lists this transfer RNA (65 nucleotides) under Dipodomys ordii (Ord's kangaroo rat). It matches the Rfam family "tRNA". From Rfam's summary of the family: Transfer RNA (tRNA) molecules are approximately 80 nucleotides in length. Their secondary structure includes four short double-helical elements and three loops (D, anti-codon, and T loops). Lineage: Eukaryota; Metazoa; Chordata; Mammalia; Rodentia; Heteromyidae. The record is from Rfam by way of RNAcentral.